GGACUCGCACAAGCGGUGGAGCAUGCGGUUUAAUUCGAUGCAACGCGAAGAACCUUACCAGGUCUUGACAUCCCAUUGACCGGCUUAGAGAUAAGCCUUUCCUUCGGGACAAUGGUGACAGGUGGUGCAUGGUUGUCGUCAGCUCGUGUCGUGAGAUGUUGGGUUAAGUCCCGCAACGAGCGCAACCCCUAUCAUUAGUUGCCAUCAUUAAGUUGGGCACUCUAAUGAGACCGCCGGUGACAAACCGGAUGAAGGUGGGGAUGACGUCAAAUCAUCAUGCCCCUUAUGACCUGGGCUACACGCGUGCUACAAUGGCCAGUACAAAGAGUUGCGAUACCGCGAGGUGGAGCUAAUCUCAUAAAGCUGGUCUCAGUUCGGAUUGUAGUCUGCAACUCGACUACAUGAAGGUGGAAUCGCUAGUAAUCGCGAAUCAGAAUGUCGCGGUGAAUACGUUCUCGAGUCUU
This 464-nucleotide ribosomal RNA is filed under the name uncultured bacterium. Its description in RNAcentral is "bacterial SSU rRNA". It matches the Rfam family "Bacterial small subunit ribosomal RNA", at positions 917 to 1382 of the family's 1533-position model. The record is from RNAcentral.